UACGUAGGUGACAAGCGUUGUCCGGAUUUACUGGGCGUAAAGGGCGCGUAGGCGGUCAGCACAAGUCAGUUGUGAAAUCUCCGGGCUUAACCCGGAAAGGUCAACUGAUACUGUGCGACUAGAGUGCGGAAGGGGCAACUGGAAUUCUUGGUGUAGCGGUGAAAUGCGUAGAUAUCAAGAGGAACACCUGCGGCGAAGGCGGGUUGCUGGGCCGACACUGACGCUGAAGCGCGAAAGCCAGGGGAGCGAACGGG
Molecule: ribosomal RNA, 254 nt
Filed under: uncultured bacterium
Lineage: Bacteria
Description: partial 16S ribosomal RNA
Rfam family: Bacterial small subunit ribosomal RNA
Source: RNAcentral